AUGUACAUUCUUACAACAUAGCGUUAAUGUAGUAGAUGCCAUUAGAACUUCGCAGUUAAGCACGCUCAGGUUAGAGUAGUACUGGGAUAGGUGACCACCUGGGAAGUCCUAGUGUUUUACAUG
This is a non-coding RNA of Picea glauca (white spruce), 123 nucleotides long. The record is from Rfam. NCBI's taxonomy places the organism in Eukaryota, Viridiplantae, Streptophyta, Pinopsida, Pinales, Pinaceae.